GGGGAUUUAGCUGAGUGGCAUAAGUACAUGCCUUGCAAGUGUGCAGUCGUGAGUUCGAUUCACAGUACCGA
RNAcentral lists this transfer RNA (71 nucleotides) under Cavia porcellus (domestic guinea pig). It matches the Rfam family "tRNA". From Rfam's summary of the family: Transfer RNA (tRNA) molecules are approximately 80 nucleotides in length. The record is from Rfam by way of RNAcentral. Lineage: Eukaryota; Metazoa; Chordata; Mammalia; Rodentia; Caviidae.